AGUGAACGCUGGCGGUAGGCCUAACACAUGCAAGUCGAACGGCAGCACAGUAAGAGCUUGCUCUUACGGGUGGCGAGUGGCGGACGGGUGAGGAAUACAUCGGAAUCUACUUUUUCGUGGGUGAUAACGUAGGGAAACUUACGCUACUACCGCAUACGACCUACGGGUGAAAGCAGUGGAGCUUCGGACCUUUCGCGAUUGAAUGAGCCGAUGUCGGAUUAGCUAGUUGGCGGGGUAAAGGCCCACCAAGGCGACGAUCCGUAGCUGGUCUGAGAGGGUGAUCAGCCACACUGGAACUGAGACACGGUCCAGACUCCUACGGGAGGCAGCAGUGGGGAAUAUUGGACAAUGGGCGCAAGCCUGAUCCAGCCAUACCGCGUGGGUGAAGAAGGCCUUCGGGUUGUAAAGCCCUUUUGUUGGGAAAGAAAAACAGCAGGUUAAUCCACCGCUGUUCUGACGGUACCCAAAGAAUAAGCACCGGCUAACUUCGUG
Molecule: ribosomal RNA, 492 nt
Filed under: uncultured bacterium
Lineage: Bacteria
Description: partial 16S ribosomal RNA
Rfam family: Bacterial small subunit ribosomal RNA
Source: RNAcentral